RNAcentral lists this long non-coding RNA (243 nucleotides) under Phoenix dactylifera (date palm). Its description in RNAcentral is "long non-coding RNA (PDAC_LNC015320)". The record is from RNAcentral. Lineage: Eukaryota; Viridiplantae; Streptophyta; Magnoliopsida; Arecales; Arecaceae.
AAUUCUCAAAAGAAAGGAAGAAGGAUGGAGUUUGAUAAGAAAUGGAUGGAUUGAAUUUAAUUGCAUAAAAACAAUGAACAGCAUUCAAUCUUCUCCCACCAUAGAUAAGGGAUUUACAAAACAGUAGCAUAUUUUGAAUCACAAAUGGGGAUUACAUUAUUAAUCUUCAGAAUCUGAAAAGAGUAUUCAAGCAGAGACAAUGCUAAUAUGAUCAUACUGGAGCCAUUUCCAACAGGGUUUUUG